CUGCGACAUAAUGACAAGUUCAUUAGAAAAAACCCUCGAGCACAACUCAUAAAAAGCCUCUUUUGGAGUAACUCAAAAAUCAUGUCCAUUCAAUUUAAUUAUUAAAAUGAAAUCGAAGAUAUGUAAAUUUUGAAAGUAGUUUUGGACAAGAAAUGACUGCAAUGAAGAAAAAUAUAUCACCAAGCAUAAAACUAAUCAGCAGAGUGCAUUCACAAACAAUAAAACAAAACCAAUUAUUCCCUCUGAAUUAUAUAAGUUCAUACAAGGAUUGAAGAAACAAAAUCAAGUAGAAACAUAGCCAACAGGGAAAAAAAACUUUGAAUGAAAGAGAAAUUGAAGGGAGAAACAAAAUCUAAAUAUUAAAAGUAAAUAGAAGAGGGGGAAUCUAGUUGCGGGGGUGGGUGUUAGCUGGGUUAGCGACACCAACUGUGACCUUGGCAACGUCUAAUGCAGAGGCUUCAGGCUUCUUCUUGGUGUACAAAACGAAGUAGCCAAUAGCGGCAACAACAGCAACACCACCAAUGGCCGUUUUCAAUGGACACAGAGACAACUUGCGACGCUGGUGAAGCACCUCUGUUGAAUGCCGUGCUGCUUGAUCUGACCCUGCCAUGUCUCUCUUGGCUAUCUUAAGCUGUCGGUUUCUUUUCUUUUUCCUUGCUUUGGCUUGUGGAAGCUUUAACUUCAGGUUGGUGAUUUGCCAUGGAUGUUGCAGGCUUUAGACAAACAAAGAGGAAAGGACACGGGGGCUGUUAUAACGAGAUAGGAGGCGAAAGUAAAGGUUAAAUGGACACGUUGAGAAGUUGAAAUUUUCAAUGUUG
Molecule: long non-coding RNA, 818 nt
Filed under: Populus trichocarpa (black cottonwood)
Lineage: Eukaryota; Viridiplantae; Streptophyta; Magnoliopsida; Malpighiales; Salicaceae
Description: long non-coding RNA (PTRI_LNC001834)
Source: RNAcentral